RNAcentral lists this ribosomal RNA (498 nucleotides) under uncultured bacterium. RNAcentral's name for it is "partial 16S ribosomal RNA". It matches the Rfam family "Bacterial small subunit ribosomal RNA", at positions 29 to 523 of the family's 1533-position model. The record is from RNAcentral.
AUUGAACGCUGGCGGCAUGCUUUACACAUGCAAGUCGAACGGUAACAGGCCGCAAGGUGCUGACGAGUGGCGAACGGGUGAGUAAUGCAUCGGAACGUGCCCAGAAGUGGGGGAUAGCCCGGCGAAAGCCGGAUUAAUACCGCAUGAGACCUGAAGGUGAAAGCGGGGGAUCGCAAGACCUCGCGCUUUUGGAGCGGCCGAUGUCAGAUUAGCUAGUUGGUGGGGUAAAGGCCUACCAAGGCGACGAUCUGUAGCUGGUCUGAGAGGACGACCAGCCACACUGGGACUGACACACGGCCCGGACUCCUACGGGAGGCAGCAGUGGGGAAUUUUGGACAAUGGGCGCAAGCCUGAGCCAGCCAUGCCGCGUGCGGGAAGAAGGCCUUCGGGUUGUAAACCGCUUUUGUCAGGGAAGAAACGCUCUGGGCUAAUACCCUGGAGUAAUGACGGUACCUGAAGAAUAAGCACCGGCUAACUACGUGCCAGCCGCCGCAGUAA